This 1238-nucleotide ribosomal RNA is filed under the name Conus ermineus (Atlantic fish-hunting cone). RNAcentral's name for it is "partial 16S ribosomal RNA". It matches the Rfam family "Bacterial large subunit ribosomal RNA", at positions 460 to 2592 of the family's 2925-position model. Lineage: Eukaryota; Metazoa; Mollusca; Gastropoda; Neogastropoda; Conidae. The record is from RNAcentral.
UUAAGUUUAAUGCUGAUAGCUAGUUGGUUGGAUAUCUAUAGAAAUAGACAAUAAACACAAAACAUUAUUAAAUUUAGUAAAGGUGAUUGAAAUUUAAUACCUUGCAUAAGCGUAGUACUGUGAAGGAAGACAGAUAGCUAGAAAUUAGAAAUGAUAAAAACUUGUACCUUUUGCAUCAUGGCUUAACUAGAUUAACUUCUGAAUAGAAAAUCUCGAAACCCGAUGAGCUAUCUUCACUCCGUUUUAUAGAUCUUAGUAAUGAGUUGGUUGUGGCAAAAAUCUCUCAAGAACUGAAGAUAGAUAUGAAAUUUUAUUCGCAUCGGGUGAUAGCUAGUUCUUUUCUAAAGGCAUAUUAGUGCCCUGGACUAGAAACUUAAUAGCCUGCAAAAUUUUUGUAGCUACGCAUAGUAGUCCAGUUAAGCUUUCGAGGAUAAGCUCGGAAGCAAUAUUUAGAUAGCAUCUAAUUUUUUUUGAAACAUAAGCUUAGUAAUGGCCAUUGAUGAAGAAUUUUGUUAUAAUUUAUUCUCCAAUUCUUAAUAUAAUUUAUUUGCUUGAUAAAAAGAGAAGAAAUUUUAAUAACUAUAUAAUAAAAAAAUUGUAUGUUAAGAUGAGUAUUAGUUUCUGUGUUGAAUAAACUAGUAAUCUAAAAAUUAGUCCUGUACAACAUGUUUUAAAACAAAACCAUAAAAAGGAACUCGGCAAAGUCGUAUUCUGCCUGUUUAUCAAAAACAUGGCUUCGUGUUGAAACUAAAAUACGAAGUCGGACCUGCCCAGUGAGUUUUAAACGGCCGCGGUACUCUGACCGUGCAAAGGUAGCAUAAUCAUUUGCCUUAUAAUUGAAGGCUGGAAUGAAUGGUUUGACAAGAAUACACCUGUCUCUUUUAGGCUGCCUAGAAUUUUAUCUUUGGAUGAAAAAGUCCAAAUAUUAUUAAAAGACAAGAAGACCCUAUCGAGCUUUAGAAAAAUUAGUAGACUUAAUAUAAAUCAAUAUAAGUAAAAGGAAAACUACUAAAUACUUUGGUUGGGGCAACCGAGGAGUAAAUAGAGCCUCCUUUGAAUUACAAAUCCUACAUGUAAUUGAUCCAAAAAUUUUGAUCAAAGGAAUUAGUUACCGUAGGGAUAACAGCAUUAUCUUUUUCAAGAGCCCAUAUCGAAAAAAAGGUUUGUGACCUCGAUGUUGGACCAGAAUAUCCUAAAGAUGCAGAAGUCUUUAAGGGUUGGUCUGUUCGACCAUUAAA